GGCUGGAAGACCAGCGUUGGCUGAGGCUGUUAAUGCAAGACUCACAAAAAAAGUAAGGUAAACAGGCGAUUCUGCAGAGGACAGUUAUUCCCUAAGGGUUGUCUAAGAAGCUUACUUACUUCAAAUGUUUGCUACUGCCUGAAAUAAAGUCAGUUUUUCUAGCGUACAUCCAUAUUCUUUUCUGUAUGGAUGGGAAUAUUUUGGUAAUGGUGAGAGAUAAUCAUGGCACAUUAAAAAAUAAACAGGACAACUGUCAUCAUUCACGUAGCUGAAGCCAAAGAAAAUGAAGCUCAGGAUGACAGGACAAGAGAGCGUUACAGACCGGCAGCUGGGAGAGCAUCCCUUCCUUACUCUGGGAGUAUCAGCCUGGGCGGUGUCAACCCCAUCUACCAGCUUUCACUGAAGUUAUUUCUAUUGCAGGCAAAAAGAUUGGGUUCACUAUAGGUUCAGGAAGAUUUCAUAACAUCACUCUAGGACAAAAGCAGGAGAUGGUUGCAAAGGAGGCGCUCAAGAAAGCUGCCCCACAUGGCCAUUGGGUUCUUUUCCAAUUGCCUGCAACAAAUGAAGAGAUGGGUUAGAGCCAGUGUUUUCUGCCAGAGGAAACAAAACCACCAUGGGAUUUAUGAGGGGCCCUGAUGUGCUGGGCACUGUGGGGACAUGCACAAACUGCCCCCCUCAUCAGCAAUGAAACUGGAAAUGUGCUUGACCAUAUUUCAUGUGAGUGAGCUAAUCAUGCCAGUCUGAAAACAAUCCUGCAUAGAAAUGUUGUGUAAGGAAGAGUCAAGUUUGUUUUCAGGGGAAUUUUAGGGUUUUCAGCUGCUCUGGGUGGCAGAAUGAAAAAAUGG
RNAcentral lists this long non-coding RNA (845 nucleotides) under Taeniopygia guttata (zebra finch). RNAcentral describes it as "lncRNA (ENSTGUG00000018955.1)". The record is from RNAcentral. Lineage: Eukaryota; Metazoa; Chordata; Aves; Passeriformes; Estrildidae.